UAAUGAACCAAAAAUUAUACUAGGAAUUAAAUGGUUAAAUAUGGUAGAACCAUGGAAUCUAAAUGAAUCAGAAUUAGAAAUAACAGUUAAAUGAAGCUCUCCCUUCUCUCUAACAGUACCGUGCCAUUGCCUCAUCUUCUCCGCCUGCCUCGGCGCACGUUAGUUAACGUUGCCGAGCUGGUUUCCAUGGCAAGAGGAAGAGG
This 203-nucleotide long non-coding RNA is filed under the name Nicotiana benthamiana. Its description in RNAcentral is "long non-coding RNA (NBEN_LNC000966)". The record is from RNAcentral. Lineage: Eukaryota; Viridiplantae; Streptophyta; Magnoliopsida; Solanales; Solanaceae.